GGGUUGUGAGGUUAAGCGACUAAGCGUACACGGUGGAUGCCCUGGCAGUCAGAGGCGAUGAAGGACGUGCUAAUCUGCGAUAAGCGUCGGUAAGGUGAUAUGAACCGUUAUAACCGGCGAUUUCCGAAUGGGGAAACCCAGUGUGAUUCGUCACACUAUCAUUAACUGAAUCCAUAGGUUAAUGAGGCGAACCGGGGGAACUGAAACAUCUAAGUACCCCGAGGAAAAGAAAUCAACCGAGAUUCCCCCAGUAGCGGCGAGCGAACGGGGAGCAGCCCAGAGCCUGAAUCAGUGUGUGUGUUAGUGGAAGCGUCUGGAAAGGCGUGCGAUACAGGGUGACAGCCCCGUACACAAAAAUGCACAUGCUGUGAGCUCGAUGAGUAGGGCGGGACACGUGGUAUCCUGUCUGAAUAUGGGGGACCAUCCUCCAAGGCUAAAUACUCCUGACUGACCGAUAGUGAACCAGUACCGUGAGGGAAAGGCGAAAAGAACCCCGGCGAGGGGAGUGAAAAAGAACCUGAAACCGUGUACGUACAAGCAGUGGGAGCACAGAGCAAUCUGUGUGACUGCGUACCUUUUGUAUAAUGGGUCAGCGACUUAUAUUCUGUAGCAAGGUUAACCGAAUAGGGGAGCCGAAGGGAAACCGAGUCUUAACUGGGCGUUAAGUUGCAGGGUAUAGACCCGAAACCCGGUGAUCUAGCCAUGGGCAGGUUGAAGGUUGGGUAACACUAACUGGAGGACCGAACCGACUAAUGUUGAAAAAAAAUUAGCGGAUGACUUGUGGCUGGGGGUGAAAGGCCAAUCAAAACCGGGAGAUAGCUGGUUCUCCCCGAAAGCUAUUUAGGUAGCGCCUCGUGAAUUCAUCUCCGGGGGUAGAGCACUGUUUCGGCAAGGGGGUCAUCCCGACUUACCAACCCGAUGCAAACUGCGAAUACCGGAGAAUGUUAUCACGGGAGACACACGGCGGGUGCUAACGUCCGUCGUGAAGAGGGAAACAACCCAGACCGCCAGCUAAGGUCCCAAAGUCAUGGUUAAGUGGGAAACGAUGUGGGAAGGCCCAGACAGCCAGGAUGUUGGCUUAGAAGCAGCCAUCAUUUAAAGAAAGCGUAAUAGCUCACUGGUCGAGUCGGCCUGCGCGGAAGAUGUAACGGGGCUAAACCAUGCACCGAAGCUGCGGCAGCGACGCUUAUGCGUUGUUGGGUAGGGGGAGCGUUCUGUAAGCCUGCGAAGGUGUGCUGUGAGGCAUGCUGGAGGUAUCAGAAGUGCGAAUGCUGACAUAAGUAACGAUAAAGCGGGUGAAAAGCCCGCUCGCCGGAAGACCAAGGGUUCCUGUCCAACGUUAAUCGGGGCAGGGUGAGUCGACCCCUAAGGCGAGGCCGAAAGGCGUAGUCGAUGGGAAACAGGUUAAUAUUCCUGUACUUGGUGUUACUGCGAAGGGGGGACGGAGAAGGCUAUGUUGGCCGGGCGACGGUUGUCCCGGUUUAAGCGUGUAGGCUGGUUUUUCCGGGCAAAUCCGGAAAAAUCAAGGCUGAGGCGUGAUGACGAGGCACUACGGUGCUGAAGCAACAAAUGCCCUGCUUCCGGGGAAAAAGCCUCUAAGCAUCAGGUAACAUCAAAUCGUACCCCAAACCGACACAGGUGGUCAGGUAGAGAAUACCAAGGCGCUUGAGAGAACUCGGGUGAAGGAACUAGGCAAAAAUGGUGCCGUAACUUCGGGAGAAGGCACGCUGAUAUGUAGGUGAAGUCCCUCGCGGAUGGAGCUGAAAUCAGUCGAAGAUACCAGCUGGCUGCAACUGUUUAUUAAAAAAACACAGCACUGUGCAAACACGAAAGUGGACGUAUACGGUGUGACGCCUGCCCGGUGCCGGAAGGUUAAUUGAUGGGGUUAGCGCAAGCGAAGCUCUUUGAUCGAAGCCCCGGUAAACGGCGGCCGUAACUAUAACGGUCCUAAGGUAGCGAAAUUCCUUGUCGGGUAAGUUCCGACCUGCACGAAUGGCGUAAUGAUGGCCGAGCUGUCUCCACCCGAGACUCAGUGAAAUUGAACUCGCUGUGAAGAUGCAGUGUACCCGCGGCAAGACGGAAAGACCCCGUGAACCUUUACUAUAGCUUGACACUGAACAUUGAGCCUUGAUGUGUAGGAUAGGUGGGAGGCUUUGAAGUGUGGACGCCAGUCUGCAUGGAGCCGACCUUGAAAUACCACCCUUUAAUGUUUGAUGUUCUAACGUUGACCCGUAAUCCGGGUUGCGGACAGUGUCUGGUGGGUAGUUUGACUGGGGCGGUCUCCUCCUAAAGAGUAACGGAGGAGCACGAAGGUUGGCUAAUCCUGGUCGGACAUCAGGAGGUUAGUGCAAUGGCAUAAGCCAGCUUGACUGCGAGCGUGACGGCGCGAGCAGGUGCGAAAGCAGGUCAUAGUGAUCCGGUGGUUCUGAAUGGAAGGGCCAUCGCUCAACGGAUAAAAGGUACUCCGGGGAUAACAGGCUGAUACCGCCCAAGAGUUCAUAUCGACGGCGGUGUUUGGCACCUCGAUGUCGGCUCAUCACAUCCUGGGGCUGAAGUAGGUCCCAAGGGUAUGGCUGUUCGCCAUUUAAAGUGGUACGCGAGCUGGGUUUAGAACGUCGUGAGACAGUUCGGUCCCUAUCUGCCGUGGGCGCUGGAGAAUUGAGGGGGGCUGCUCCUAGUACGAGAGGACCGGAGUGGACGCAUCACUGGUGUUCGGGUUGUCAUGCCAAUGGCACUGCCCGGUAGCUAAAUGCGGAAGAGAUAAGUGCUGAAAGCAUCUAAGCACGAAACUUGCCCCGAGAUGAGUUCUCCCUGACUCCUUGAGAGUCCUGAAGGAACGUUGAAGACGACGACGUUGAUAGGCCGGGUGUGUAAGCGCAGCGAUGCGUUGAGCUAACCGGUACUAAUGAACCGUGAGGCUUAACCUUACAACGCCGAAGGUGUUU
Molecule: ribosomal RNA, 2945 nt
Filed under: Escherichia coli
Lineage: Bacteria; Pseudomonadati; Pseudomonadota; Gammaproteobacteria; Enterobacterales; Enterobacteriaceae
Description: 23S ribosomal RNA
Rfam family: Bacterial large subunit ribosomal RNA
Source: RNAcentral